Molecule: non-coding RNA, 410 nt
Organism: Aegilops tauschii subsp. strangulata
Lineage: Eukaryota; Viridiplantae; Streptophyta; Magnoliopsida; Poales; Poaceae
Source: RefSeq, a predicted model, not a curated record
GUACUGAUGCAACCAUGGAAGGGGUGGAAGGGAAAAUAUUUGACGAUGGUUUUUUCUCCCAACCUGGCAAGGUAUUUUACUACCUAUAUUAAUUACUGGAAGGUGUGAUUUUGCUGGAAGGUUCUACUUGGUACUGAUUGUCAUACCUACACUGGGGGAUCCUUUGCCCAAUUUGCAACUGGAACGUGAAACAUUCGGAAGGUAUGCAAACAUGUAUCAUUGUUUCAUGGGAAAUGGUACAACCAUGGAACAAUAGUGCAUAUAUUGAGUGUUGUAUCAUAUUAGCACCCUUUCCAUUCUGGACACCUGCCUCUUUGUCAUAACGUGGAUAUAGUGUGAUGCCUAUGGGAAGAAGUGGUGCUUUGAUUUUUUAAAUUUUUUUUAGGAGCCCCCAACUAUCAGGUACUAAA